UUUGCAAUCAAGUAGCAUGAGUUCUCCAAUGUUGUUCUUGUGUUAGUCAAUAGACAGUAAUGAGAAAUAGGAGUACAAUGGGGAACACAUGAACAAUCCGUAAACAUUCAAAUUUAAAUUUUAAAACUUUGUGAAGGCCAAUAAUCGAUGCCUGCAGGCUGAAUUCAAUCCGUGGGCCACCAUUGUGUCUGGAGGGAGAAGUCUUUUUGGUGGAUGACUUGUAGAGUACUAGCCCUUCUAGAAGUCUUCUUUAGCCUUCACGGUAAGCGGGACUUGAUCUCAGCAUCAUAUGCCAACUUAACCAAAAUAGAAAGGAACUGUGUGGCACGAAUAGCCUGGGCCCAUUUUCAGUGAGGGCCUCAGGCACUCUGCAAAGCAUCGGUAAAGAAUGAAAUCAGAGUUCCCUACAGUGAGAGUCCACCAUCUCUCCAACUUUAUGUCUCUCCCUAGCUUACUGAUGGUUGAAAUUCCUUUAAUUGAGAGAAAAGUCUUUAAAUCCACAUUCAGAGAUGCAAAUAAAAUACAAGUUGCUGUUUCUUAAAAAGUCAAACACAAACUUACCAUAUGAGCCAGUGAUUCCACUCCCAGAGAAAUGAAAGAUUUGUCCACAUAAAAAUGAACACAUGAAUAUCCAUAGCAGCAUGAUUCACAAAAGCCAAGAAAUGGACACAACUCCAAGUUUCCACCAACCAGUGAGGAGACAAACAAAAUGGAGUACAUCCACACAAUGAAAUACUGUUCAUCAAGAAAAAAGGAUGAAUUUGACACAUCUCAAAAAUGUCACACGAAGCGAAGAAAGCUAGACACAGAAGAUCACAUCAGAGUGACUACCUCUUCCCAUCCCGGUGGAAGACUUGGGGGUUUGCUCUGGGAAGAAGCUCCAUCAAGUGGCUCCGGACAAAGGAUAUCAGGAAGCCAUGGGGAGGGAUACACCCUAAUGAUCAAAGUCUACAUAUGAAAGAUUUCAUUACCUCCUUUCUGUUUCCUUAGACUCUCAGUGCCUUCAUAUCAUUACCUACUGCAUUUCUGAAGCAACAGAGCUUCUUACUAACUGCCUUUUCCUAGACUGAAAGACACAGAUAGAGCUCCAGCGAGAGAAGCAGACAGCAUGGGAGCUGUUCCACAACCAACGGGAAACCACGCUCCAGAGCAAACCGCCUUCUCUGUUGUGGUCAAACUCUAUCUCCACCACUACCACUGGGUUCCUCUGAUACAGGCAACAAAACUUUUGUUUUCGAGGCCAAGUAACCAGAGUAAUGAAUGUAAAAUGUAUUGAUUUAAGAAUGGAAACUACCAAAUGAGGGAUUGCUUUGGGAACUUUAUAUUUCUUGAGACACAGUUAUUCCUCCACAGAGCCUCCAUUGUUGUGUAUAUGGCUAUAACAGGCAGGCCACCCAGGGAUCCAAUUAGAGCACAGAAAUGAGUAAAGGCUGAACCAUAAGGAAAUAUGAGAAGAGACUGUGUGGCUCCAGAUGAGGAUUCAAAUCCUAGCAGCUGAGACAUCAUUCAUUUCAUUAUCUAGAAGCCUGGUCAAACUGAAGUCCUCACACCUCAGCACAAAUGGCUGCCAAACCCUGGUUCUAGGAAACUAAGAGAAAACGGACAACUAUGCAGGCAAGGGCUCUGUGCUCAAAACACCCAGCCAUGGGUCCAAGAAGACCAGAUCCUUGGACUGCAAGCCAAGACAUCACAACCAACGUGAGCAAUUGCUCUGGUGCCAGUCAUGGCCUCAGAUGUAUUGUUUUAAUGGCUAAGGUCACAGGCUAAGGCACACACCAGGUUCUGCUAUUGAACACAGACGCCACCACCCCUCCUGCCUCCCCUCAUCAAACACCAGGAGUCUGUUAGGGCAGAACUGCACAAAUGGGAAACACCCAUCAAAUGCAGCAGGAAUAUUAACUUCACUAGGAAGCCUUUAUAUGCCAUUACUUUAGAAAGGAUUCCUUGUUAGUCCUACCAUUAAACAAUUAAAUUGUCAGAGAUGAAUUCUGUGCAUGUGUGUGCAGAGCGUGCGUGUGUGUGCAGGAUGUGUAAUUUCCCACUCAGGUGAUGUCUGCAGCAGAUCUCUCUCUCUCUGUGUCUCUCUCUCUCGCUCUGUCCCCCUCUCUCUCCACCCCAAUUGUAUGCUUUCCCCCUUACAUUGCUGAAAAUAAAUACG
Molecule: long non-coding RNA, 2158 nt
Organism: Canis lupus familiaris (dog)
Lineage: Eukaryota; Metazoa; Chordata; Mammalia; Carnivora; Canidae
Exons: 4
Source: RefSeq, a predicted model, not a curated record